CUAGACAGAUGGGCCUCGAUCCCAUAAUAGUCUAGUUAACAGCUAGAUGCCUUAUCCAGCAGGCCUCUGUCUA
This 73-nucleotide transfer RNA is filed under the name Struthio camelus (African ostrich). RNAcentral describes it as "tRNA-Asn". Lineage: Eukaryota; Metazoa; Chordata; Aves; Struthioniformes; Struthionidae. The record is from RNAcentral.